Molecule: ribosomal RNA, 497 nt
Filed under: uncultured bacterium
Lineage: Bacteria
Description: partial 16S ribosomal RNA
Rfam family: Bacterial small subunit ribosomal RNA
Source: RNAcentral
GAUGAACGCUGGCGGCGUGCCUAAUACAUGCAAGUCGAGCGAACAGAUGAGGAGCUUGCUCCUCUGACGUUAGCGGCGGACGGGUGAGUAACACGUGGAUAACCUACCUAUAAGACUGGGAUAACUUCGGGAAACCGGAGCUAAUACCGGAUAAUAUAUUGAACCGCAUGGUUCAAUAGUGAAAGACGGUUUUGCUGUCACUUAUAGAUGGAUCCGCGCCGCAUUAGCUAGUUGGUAAGGUAACGGCUUACCAAGGCAACGAUGCGUAGCCGACCUGAGAGGGUGAUCGGCCACACGGGAACUGAGACACGGUCCAGACUCCUACGGGAGGCAGCAGUAGGGAAUCUUCCGCAAGGGGCGAAAGCCUGACGGAGCAACGCCGCGUGAAUGAUGAAGGUCUUCGGAUCGUAAAACUCUGUUAUUAGGGAAGAACAAAUGUGUAAGUAACUAUGCACGUCUUGACGGUACCUAAUCAGAAAGCCACGGCUAACUACGUG